This 214-nucleotide unclassified non-coding RNA is filed under the name plant metagenome. RNAcentral's name for it is "partial contains small subunit ribosomal RNA, internal transcribed spacer 1, and 5.8S ribosomal RNA". The record is from RNAcentral.
UUUCCGUAGGUGAACCUGCGGAAGGAUCAUUCAUAAUAAGUGUUUUAUGGCACUUUUUUAAAUCCUUAUCCACCUUGUGUGCAAUGUCAGGGUUGAUUUUUUCUCUCGAGAGGAUCAGCCCCAAACAUCAACUAUAUCUCAACUCUUUGUCUGAAAAAUAUUAUGAAUAAAACAAUUCAAAAUACAACUUUCAACAACGGAUCUCUUGGCUCUC